CAACUUUCAACAACGGAUCUCUUGGCUCUCGCAUCGAUGAAGAACGCAGCGAAAUGCGAUAACUAAUGUGAAUUGCAGAAUUCAGUGAAUCAUCGAGUCUUUGAACGCACCUUGCGCCCUUUGGCAUUCCGAAGGGCAUGCCUGUUUGAGUGUCAGUAAAUUCUCAAC
This 168-nucleotide ribosomal RNA is filed under the name Gloiocephala aquatica. RNAcentral's name for it is "5.8S ribosomal RNA". It matches the Rfam family "5.8S ribosomal RNA". Rfam says of the family: 5.8S ribosomal RNA (5.8S rRNA) is a component of the large subunit of the eukaryotic ribosome. Lineage: Eukaryota; Fungi; Basidiomycota; Agaricomycetes; Agaricales; Physalacriaceae. The record is from RNAcentral.